GAAGCCAGCCAGACCGUCGCCGCCCUCGGUUCGAGGGGGAGGAAAGUCCGGGCUCCACAGAGCAGGAUGCCGGGUAACGCCCGGACGCUAUAAGUCGCCGCUCGCGCGGAUGACGAAGGCGAGGAACAGGGCCACAGAGACGAGUCGUCCCGGCGUCAAACCCGGGACGGGUGAAACGCGGCAACCUCCAUCCGGAGCAACACCAAGUAGGCGGACAUCGACGCUGCUCGCGUAAGUCCGCGGGUAGGUGGCUCGAGCCCGGCGGCAACGCCGGGCCUAGACGAAUGACGGUCAUAGCGCGCGCAGGCGCGCCGUAACAGAACCCGGCUUAUCGGCUGACUUCGCUU
This 347-nucleotide RNase P RNA is filed under the name Betaproteobacteria bacterium. Its description in RNAcentral is "RNase P RNA component class A". It matches the Rfam family "Bacterial RNase P class A". From Rfam's summary of the family: Ribonuclease P (RNase P) is a ubiquitous endoribonuclease, found in archaea, bacteria and eukarya as well as chloroplasts and mitochondria. Its best characterised activity is the generation of mature 5'-ends of tRNAs by cleaving the 5'-leader elements of precursor-tRNAs. Lineage: Bacteria; Pseudomonadati; Pseudomonadota; Betaproteobacteria. The record is from RNAcentral.